UCUGAACGCUGGCGGCAUGGUUAAAGCAUGCAAGUCGAACGAAACCCUUCGGGGUGAAAGUGGCGAAAGGGCGAGUAAUGCGAUCGAAUGUACCCCAAGGUGGGGGAUAGCGUCGGGAAACUGACGGUAAUACCCCAUGUCCUCUACGGAGAAAAGGCUUGCCGCCUUGGGAUCAGCGAUCGUCCUAUCAGGUAGUUGGUGAGGUAAAAGCUCACCAAGCCGAAGACGGGUAGCGGGUGUGAGAGCAUGACCCGCCGCAUCGGAACUGAGACACUGUCCGG
RNAcentral lists this ribosomal RNA (281 nucleotides) under uncultured bacterium. RNAcentral's name for it is "partial 16S ribosomal RNA". It matches the Rfam family "Bacterial small subunit ribosomal RNA", at positions 30 to 334 of the family's 1533-position model. The record is from RNAcentral.